GUUAAUGUUAAUUGUUAAUUAAUGUUAAAAUUGUAACAUUACAGAGAAGAUUUUCAAGGCCCUUUGUAAAAGGAUGACCUGUGGAUUAUGGAGCAUUCUAUAUUUCU
Molecule: small nuclear RNA, 107 nt
Organism: Hyaena hyaena (striped hyena)
Lineage: Eukaryota; Metazoa; Chordata; Mammalia; Carnivora; Hyaenidae
Source: RefSeq, a predicted model, not a curated record